UACGUAGGGUGCGAGCGUUGUCCGGAAUUAUUGGGCGUAAAGAGCUCGUAGGCGGUCUGUUGCGUCGGCUGUGAAAACCCGGGGCUCAACCCCGGGCCUGCAGCCGAUACGGGCAGACUAGAGUUCGGCAGGGGAGACUGGAAUUCCUGGUGUAGCGGUGAAAUGCGCAGAUAUCAGGGAGGAACACCGGUGGCGAAGGCGGGUCUCUGGGCCGAUACUGACGUGGAGGAGCGAAAGCGUGGGGAGCGAACAGG
RNAcentral lists this ribosomal RNA (254 nucleotides) under uncultured bacterium. RNAcentral's name for it is "partial 16S ribosomal RNA". It matches the Rfam family "Bacterial small subunit ribosomal RNA", at positions 524 to 776 of the family's 1533-position model. The record is from RNAcentral.